ACCUGGCUGGCUCAGUGAGUAGAGCAUGUGACUCUUGAUCUCAGGGUUGUGAGUUCAACUCCCACACUGGGCA
This 73-nucleotide transfer RNA is filed under the name Ailuropoda melanoleuca (giant panda). It matches the Rfam family "tRNA". From Rfam's summary of the family: Transfer RNA (tRNA) molecules are approximately 80 nucleotides in length. Their secondary structure includes four short double-helical elements and three loops (D, anti-codon, and T loops). Lineage: Eukaryota; Metazoa; Chordata; Mammalia; Carnivora; Ursidae. The record is from Rfam by way of RNAcentral.